GUUCGAUUCCGGAGAGGGAGCCUGAGAAACGGCUACCACAUCUAAGGAAGGCAGCAGGCGCGCAAAUUACCCAAUCCUGACUCAGGGAGGUAGUGACAAGAAAUAACAACACUGGAAAUUGUAUUUCUAGUGAUUGGAAUGAUGGGAAUCCAAACCCCUUUCAGAGUAACAAUUGGAGGGCAAGUCUGGUGCCAGCAGCCGCGGUAAUUCCAGCUCCAAUAGCGUAUAUUAAAGUUGUUGCAGUUAAAAAGCUCGUAGUUGGAUAUCUGCUGGAAGCAAUCAGUCCGCCCUUUUCGUAAGGGUGUGCACUUGAUGAAUUCUGGCAUGAUUUCAUCCUAAUAAUAAUAUAUUAUUAUAUUAGGUUGAUUCCUAGUAUAAUAAUAUUUAUUAUUAUGGGGAUGACAGUUACUUUGAGAAAAUUAGAGUGUUUGAAGCAGGCUUUUGUUGCCUUGAAUACUGCAGCAUGGAAUAACAAUAUAGGAUUUCGGUUCUAUUAUUUUGUUGGUUUUUUGUAG
This 515-nucleotide ribosomal RNA is filed under the name Sarcocystis gigantea. RNAcentral's name for it is "SSU rRNA". It matches the Rfam family "Eukaryotic small subunit ribosomal RNA", at positions 375 to 857 of the family's 1831-position model. The record is from RNAcentral. Lineage: Eukaryota; Apicomplexa; Conoidasida; Eucoccidiorida; Sarcocystidae.